GUUCCUCUCUGUAGUGAGUGUAAAGUCUCUCCGCUCCGCAAGCUCUCUCGUUUCGUUGGUUGGUGGUGGACCAGUUUUGGAUGAUAUGCUUUUAUCAAUCAAUGAUGAUGAUGGCUUUGAUGGAAACUCUUUUUCUCUGUGACACGUCUUCAGGGGUUUUGUUCCUCUGACUCUCUAGUACAGCAUCUUCACUCGUUCGUUUCGUUUCAUUGGUGGUUUUGAUGAUGAUGAUGAUGGCUUUGAUGGACACGAACUAGUCUCUGGUUUUGGAUUAUUUCAGGUCUUGGUCGAUGCUUUGAUAGAUCAGUGACGGCUUUGAUGGACUCCUUCUUCUGUGUGCUACGUCUGAAUGGGUUUUGUUAUUCCUCUUAAGUCUUAAUACAUCUUCUACUUUUUUUCUAUAUAUAAGUGAAUUUAACAUCUCAGUCUCUCUUUUGUUGCAGAUCGUGUGAUGGCUUUGACUGAUCCUUGUCACUCUCAUUCAAUUUUGCUCUUCCGGGUAUUGGAUGAUGCUUUGAUCGAUCAGUGAUGGCUUUGAUGGACUCCUUCUUCCCUGUUCUAAAGACAUCAUUGAUUUUGGAGGCACCUGGAUUACUGACUGUGUGGGAGGUUCAAAUAGAAAACAUUGUGGGAGUUUAACUUUCAGAUGUUCUUGCUGUGUACACACACAUUCAGAUGAGAGAUGCUCCACAAAUUAUUUCCUGAACGAGAGGAGAGUUUGUUCUUAAGCUUUGUCCUAUGUAACUUGUUUUUUGUUGGUACGCAUAGAACUGAAAAUAUAUAUAUAUAUCUCUCACUUUGAUGCAGAUCGUGGAUAUCUUCUCGUCUAUCAUCUGUUUAGAGAUGGACUUGAUGGACCUAAGCAAGCUUUGUUGGAGAGAUUUGUUCACUGGUAUCCGGAGACCAGCGAGAGGUAUGCUUGAUUGUCUCACGAGAGACCACCAGCAGGUUUGUUAGCUUCUCAUCAAUUUCCAAUACAUCGGUCUUUUUGUCUUGGCCGGAGGAGAAGCAAAUCGGAGACGGAGACUGAGAGAAUCCAUGCUUGAAUGUUUCUAUCCUAGAGGAAGUAAAGACGUGCGAGUCCAUGGAGAAGCCUUAAAAUCUCUCUCGCCGGAUCCUAAUUCUCGAACAUGGCGUGUCUCUUGUUCAGCCACCCUCUACUUUGCCGGCGCUACAUCUUCCUCUCUCUCUCUCUCUCUUUCGUACACAAGCACAAAGUGUAACCAGGGGCAACAAUCUUCGCUCAUCAAUCCGGUUAGAUGGCUUCAGAUGCAGAGCUCAUCAACCCACCUGUCCAAUAAUGGUGGAGGGAGCAGCAUUGCGCAGCUGCAAGAGUUAAUUCCGGAACAGCAGGUACUUGGUGGAAUGAGAGGGAGGACUGGAUCACUCUAGGAAACCUCAUCGGUUAUUGCUUGAUGCCACAUGCUAUGAUGCUAUGAUGGCUCGUUAUAGGUUAAGAACCCGUGGCCAAGUUUUGAUUCUCACAGUGGGGUCUUGCUGAACCACUAUGGUCUAACAGAAGGACGGAACUAAACCGUUCUCUUUGGUGUUUCAAGGAGUCUUGGCAUUUUCUAGUAUAGACAGUGGACGAGCUGAAGCAGUUAUAGGAAAGAUGGACGUAUCUGUCUUCUUCUAGAACUUGCAAAAUCAUGGCGAGAAGGGAUUCAGUCAGAAGCUGCAAAGGCUAUUGCAAAGUCUGUUGCUGAAGAAGGAAGAAUCAGAAUUCUUGCUGGUUUGGCAAAGUCAAUGAACAGACUUGUGGCUGAGGAAGCUGCUGGUGGACUAUGGAAUCUCUCUCUGUCGGAGAAGAGCAUAAGGUGAAGAAUAACCCGUGGCGAGAUGUUGAUGCUCAGAGUGGGGUCUUGCUAUGGUCUAACAGAAGUAAGGUACCACACCGUGCUAUCUGGUGUUUCAAGGAGUCUUGGCAUCUGCUGUCAGCUUAUAUGAGUUCUCAAUUGUGUCAGGCACAUUCAUCAGUCAAAAGCCUAACUUUCAGGUCUGCUUUCUCCUAUCAAGUAUUAUAACAUGGGAAACGAAAAGAGUCAAAAGCCUACAAAGAACAACUCUGUGUCAGC
Molecule: non-coding RNA, 2075 nt
Organism: Camelina sativa (false flax)
Lineage: Eukaryota; Viridiplantae; Streptophyta; Magnoliopsida; Brassicales; Brassicaceae
Source: RefSeq, a predicted model, not a curated record